UUCCGGUUGAUCCCGCCGGAGGCUACCGCUAUUGGAGUCCGAUUAAGACAUGCGAGUCGAGAGCUUUCGGAGCUCGGCAUACUGCUCAGUAACACGUGGGUAACAUGCCCUGUGCUGGGGGAUAACCUCGGGAAACUGAGAACAAUACCCCAUAGUCCACUACGCCUGGAACGGUGAGUGGAUGAAAGCCCCGGCGGCACAGGAUGGGCCUGCGGCGUAUCAGGUAGUAGGGGGUGUAAAGUACCCUCUAGCCUUCGACGCGUACGGGUUGUGAGAGCAAUAGCCCGGAGAUGGAUUCUGAGACAAGAAUCCAGGUCCUACGGGACGCAGCAGUCGCGAAACCUUGACAAUGCGGGAAACCGUGAUCAGGGGACUCCAAGUGCCAGGAGUAAGAUCCUGUGCUUUUCUUUUCUCUUCAAAGGAUUUGGAAUAAGAGGUGGGUAAGGACGGUGCCAGCCGCCGCGGUAAUACCGGCGCCUCGAGUGGUAGUCGAUUUUAUUGGGCCUAAAACGUCCGUCGCCGGUCUGGUGCAUUCGUGGGUAAAUCAACCCGCUCAACGGGUUGAAUUCUGCGAGCACGGCCAGACUAGGGACCGGGAGAGGUGUGGGGUACGCUCGGGGUAGGGGUAAAAUCCUGUCAUCCCGAGCGGACCACCUGUUGCGAAGGCUCCACACUAGAACGGAUCCGACGGUCAGGGACGAAGCCUAGGGGCACGAACCGGAUUAGAUACCCGGGUAGUCCUAGGUGUAAACGCUGUGGACUUGGUGUUGGGAGCUCCCAGAGGGCUCUCAGUGCCGUAGCGAAGGUGAUAAGUCCACUGCCUGGGGAGUACGGUCGCAAGGCUGAAACUUAAAGGAAUUGGCGGGGCAGCAC
RNAcentral lists this ribosomal RNA (873 nucleotides) under uncultured euryarchaeote. Its description in RNAcentral is "bacterial SSU rRNA". It matches the Rfam family "Archaeal small subunit ribosomal RNA", at positions 1 to 879 of the family's 1478-position model. Lineage: Archaea; Methanobacteriati; Methanobacteriota. The record is from RNAcentral.